This 503-nucleotide ribosomal RNA is filed under the name Salmonella enterica subsp. enterica serovar Typhimurium. RNAcentral's name for it is "partial 23S ribosomal RNA". It matches the Rfam family "Bacterial large subunit ribosomal RNA", at positions 2431 to 2925 of the family's 2925-position model. The record is from RNAcentral. Lineage: Bacteria; Pseudomonadati; Pseudomonadota; Gammaproteobacteria; Enterobacterales; Enterobacteriaceae.
GAAUGGAAGGGCCAUCGCUCAACGGAUAAAAGGUACUCCGGGGAUAACAGGCUGAUACCGCCCAAGAGUUCAUAUCGACGGCGGUGUUUGGCACCUCGAUGUCGGCUCAUCACAUCCUGGGGCUGAAGUAGGUCCCAAGGGUAUGGCUGUUCGCCAUUUAAAGUGGUACGCGAGCUGGGUUUAGAACGUCGUGAGACAGUUCGGUCCCUAUCUGCCGUGGGCGCUGGAGAACUGAGGGGGGCUGCUCCUAGUACGAGAGGACCGGAGUGGACGCAUCACUGGUGUUCGGGUUGUCAUGCCAAUGGCACUGCCCGGUAGCUAAAUGCGGAAGAGAUAAGUGCUGAAAGCAUCUAAGCACGAAACUUGCCCCGAGAUGAGUUCUCCCUGAGACUUAGAGUCUCCUGAAGGAACGUUGAAGACGACGACGUUGAUAGGCCGGGUGUGUAAGCGCAGCGAUGCGUUGAGCUAACCGGUACUAAUGAACCGUGAGGCUUAACCUUACA